GACGAACGCUGGCGGCGUGCUUAACACAUGCAAGUCGAACGGAAAGGCCUCUUUAGGGGGGUACUCGAGUGGCGAACGGGUGAGUAACACGUGAGUAACCUGCCCUUGACUUUGGGUUAACUUCAGGAAACUGGGGCUAUUACCGGAUAGGAGCUCCUGCUGCAGGGUGGGGGCUGGAAAGUUUCGGCGGUUGGGGAUGGACUCGCGGCUUAUCAGCUUGUUGGUGGGGUAGUGGCUUACCAAGGCUUUGACGGGUAGCCGGCCUGAGGGGGUGACCGGCCACACUGGGACUGAGAGACGGCCCAGACGCCGACGGGAGGCAGCAGUGGGGAAUAUUGCACAAUGGGUGGAAGCCGGAUGCAGCAACGCCGUGGGCGGGAUGACGGCCUUCGGGUUGUAAACCGCUUUCGCUCAUGACGAAGCUUUGUGUGACGGUAGUGGGUAAAGAAGCACCGGCUAACUACGUG
Molecule: ribosomal RNA, 467 nt
Filed under: uncultured bacterium
Lineage: Bacteria
Description: partial 16S ribosomal RNA
Rfam family: Bacterial small subunit ribosomal RNA
Source: RNAcentral